Brassica rapa (field mustard) is the source of this 126-nucleotide non-coding RNA. The record is from Rfam. NCBI's taxonomy places the organism in Eukaryota, Viridiplantae, Streptophyta, Magnoliopsida, Brassicales, Brassicaceae.
GGUUGAUGAGGAUUUAUCUUUUAAGGCUUGUUUCUCAAAACAUUCGCAGUGGCCGCCUAAAGCUUUCGCCUUUCGCCAGGCUUGAGAGCUUCUGAUGUUCUUAUCCUUCCUUGGAUGUCUGAAACC